Molecule: ribosomal RNA, 161 nt
Filed under: uncultured bacterium
Lineage: Bacteria
Description: partial 16S ribosomal RNA
Rfam family: Bacterial small subunit ribosomal RNA
Source: RNAcentral
UGGGGGAUAUUGCACAAUGGGGGGAAACCCUGAUGCAGCGACGCCGCGUGGGUGAAGAAGCGCCUCGGCGCGUAAAGCCCUGUCAGCAGGGAAGAAAAUGACGGUACCUGAAGAAGAAGCCCCGGCUAACUACGUGCCAGCAGCGCGGUAAUCGGUGCUCU